GACGAACGCUGGCGGCGUGCUUAACACAUGCAAGUCGAACGGAAAGGCCCUGCUUUUGUGGGGUGCUCGAUUGGCGCACGGGUGAGUAACACGUGAGUAUCCUGCCCUUGACUUUGGGAUAACUUCAGGAAACUGGGGCUAAUACCGGAUAGGAGCUCCUGCUGCAUGGUGGGGGUUGGAAAGUUUCGGCGGUUGGGGAUGGACUCGCGGCUUAUCAGCUUGUUGGUGGAGUAGUUGCUUACCAAGGGUUUGACGGAUAGCCGGCACGAGAGGGCGACCGGGGACAUGGGGACUACGAGACGGACCAGACGCCUACGGGAGGCAGCAGGGGGGAAUAUUGCACAAUGGGCCGAAGCCUGAUGCAGCAACGCCGCGUGCGGGAUGACGGCCUUCGGGUUGUAAACAGAUUUCGACGGUGACGAAGCGUGAGUGACGGUAAUGGGUAAAGAAGCACCGGCUAACUACGUG
This 468-nucleotide ribosomal RNA is filed under the name uncultured bacterium. Its description in RNAcentral is "partial 16S ribosomal RNA". It matches the Rfam family "Bacterial small subunit ribosomal RNA", at positions 28 to 507 of the family's 1533-position model. The record is from RNAcentral.